RNAcentral lists this ribosomal RNA (484 nucleotides) under uncultured bacterium. RNAcentral describes it as "partial 16S ribosomal RNA". It matches the Rfam family "Bacterial small subunit ribosomal RNA", at positions 28 to 523 of the family's 1533-position model. The record is from RNAcentral.
GACGAACGCUGGCGGCGUGCUUAACACAUGCAAGUCGAACGAUGAAGCUGGAGCUUGCUCCGGUGGAUUAGUGGCGAACGGGUGAGUAACACGUGAGUAAUCUGCCCUUGACUCUGGGAUAACUGCGGGAAACUGUAGCUAAUACCGGAUACGACACCUUCGGGCAUUCGAUGGGUGUGGAAAGAAUUUCGGUCAAGGAUGAACUCGCGGCCUAUCAGCUAGUUGGUGAGGUAAUGGCUCACCAAGGCGACGACGGGUAGCCGGCCUGAAAGGGUGACCGGCCACACUGGGACUGAGACACGGCCCAGAAUCCUACGGGAGGCAGCAGUGGGGAAUAUUGCACAAUGGGCGAAAGCCUGAUGCAGCAACGCCGCGUGAGGGAUGAAGGCCUUCGGGUUGUAAACCUCUUUUAGUUGGGAAGAAGCGAAAGUGACGGUACCAACAGAAAAAGCACCGGCUAACUACGUGCCAGCCGCCGCGGUAA